ACACAUGCAAGUCGAACGAAGCUACUAAAAGGAAGUCUUCGGAUGGAAUUUUGGUAGACUUAGUGGCGGACGGGUGAGUAACGCGUGGAUAACCUGCCUUAUACAGGGGGAUAACGGAGAGAAAUUUCCGCUAAGACCGCAUAAGACCACAGCACCGCAUGGUGCAGGGGUAAAAUAUUUAUAGGUAUAAGAUGGAUCCGCGUCCGAUUAGCUAGUUGGUGAGGUAGAGGCUCACCAAGGCGACGAUCGGUAGCCGGCCUGAGAGGGUGAACGGCCACAUUGGGACUGAGACACGGCCCAAACUCCUACGGGAGGCAGCAGUGGGGAAUAUUGGACAAUGGGGGAAACCCUGAUCCAGCGACGCCGCGUGAGUGAAGAAGUAUUUCGGUAUGUAAAGCUCUAUCAGCAGGGAAGAAAAUGACGGUACCUGACUAAGAAGCCCCGGCUAACUACGUGCCAGCAGCCGCGGUAAUACGUAGGGGGCAAGCGUUAUCCGGAUUUACUGGGUGUAAAGGGAGCGCAGACGGCGAAGCAAGUCUGAAGUGAAAUGCAUGGGCUCAACCCAUGAAUUGCUUUGGAAACUGUUUGGCUUGAGUGUCGGAGGGGUAAGCGGAAUUCCUAGUGUAGCGGUGAAAUGCGUAGAUAUUAGGAGGAACACCGGAGGCGAAGGCGGCUUACUGGACGA
This 685-nucleotide ribosomal RNA is filed under the name uncultured Lachnospiraceae bacterium. RNAcentral describes it as "bacterial SSU rRNA". It matches the Rfam family "Bacterial small subunit ribosomal RNA", at positions 51 to 736 of the family's 1533-position model. The record is from RNAcentral. Lineage: Bacteria; Bacillati; Bacillota; Clostridia; Lachnospirales; Lachnospiraceae.